UGAGGGAAAGGCGAAAAGAACCCCGGCGAGGGGAGUGAAAAAGAACCUGAAACCGUGUACGUACAAGCAGUGGGAGCACAGGUUUACCUGUGUGACUGCGUACCUUUUGUAUAAUGGGUCAGCGACUUAUAUUCUGUAGCAAGGUUAACCGAAUAGGGGAGCCGGAGGGAAACCGAGUCUUAAUUGGGCGUUAAGUUGCAGGGUAUAGACCCGAAACCCGGUGAUCUAGCCAUGGGCAGGUUGAAGGUUGGGUAACACUAACUGGAGGACCGAACCGACUAAUGUUGAAAAAUUAGCGGAUGACCUGUGGCUGGGGGUGAAAGGCCAAUCAAACCGGGAGAUAGCUGGUUCUCCCCGAAAGCUAUUUAGGUAGCGCCUCGUGAAUUCAUCUCCGGGGGUAGAGCACUGUUUCGGCUAGGGGGCCAUCCCGGCUUACCAACCCGAUGCAAACUGCGAAUACCGGAGAAUGUUAUCACGGGAGACACACGGCGGGUGCUAACGUCCGUCGUGAAGAGGGAAACAACCCAGACCGCCAGCUAAGGUCCCAAAGUCAUGGUUAAGUGGGAAACGAUGUGGGAAGGCCCAGACAGCCAGGAUGUUGGCUUAGAAGCAGCCAUCAUUUAAAGAAAGCGUAAUAGCUCACUGGUCGAGUCGGCCUGCGCGGAAGAUGUAACGGGGCUAAACCAUGCACCGAAGCUGCGGCAGCGACGCUGAUGCGUUGUUGGGUAGGGGAGCGUUCUGUAAGCCUGUGAAGGUGUGUCGUGAGGCAUGCUGGAGGUAUCAGAAGUGCGAAUGCUGACAUAAGUAACGAUAAAGCGGGUGAAAAGCCCGCUCGCCGGAAGACCA
This 846-nucleotide ribosomal RNA is filed under the name Salmonella enterica subsp. enterica serovar Typhimurium. Its description in RNAcentral is "partial 23S ribosomal RNA". It matches the Rfam family "Bacterial large subunit ribosomal RNA", at positions 504 to 1347 of the family's 2925-position model. The record is from RNAcentral. Lineage: Bacteria; Pseudomonadati; Pseudomonadota; Gammaproteobacteria; Enterobacterales; Enterobacteriaceae.